Molecule: ribosomal RNA, 253 nt
Filed under: uncultured bacterium
Lineage: Bacteria
Description: partial 16S ribosomal RNA
Rfam family: Bacterial small subunit ribosomal RNA
Source: RNAcentral
UACGGAGGUGGCAAGCGUUGCUCGGAAUCACCGGGCGUAAAGAGCUCGUAGGCGGCUCGUCGCGUCAGCUGUGAAAACCCACGGCUUAACUGUGGGCUUGCAGCUGAUACGGGCGGGCUGGAGUUCGGUAGGGGAGACUGGAAUUCCUGGUGUAGCGGUGAAAUGCGCAGAUAUCAGGAGGAACACCGGUGGCGAAGGCGGGUCUCUGGGCCGAUACUGACGCUGAGGAGCGAAAGCGUGGGGAGCGAACAGG